AGUGAACGCUGGCGGUAGGCCUAACACAUGCAAGUCGAACGGCAGCACAGUAAGAGCUUGCUCUUACGGGUGGCGAGUGGCGGACGGGUGAGGAAUACAUCGGAAUCUACUUUUUCGUGGGGAUAACGUAGGGAAACUUACGCUAAUACCGCAUACGACCUACGGGUGAAAGCAGGGGAUCUUCGGACCUUGCGCGAUUGAAUGAGCCGAUGUCGGAUUAGCUAGUUGGCGGGGUAAAGGCCCACCAAGGCGACGAUCCGUAGCUGGUCUGAGAGGAUGAUCAGCCACACUGGAACUGAGACACGGUCCAGAAUCCUACGGGAGGCAGCAGUGGGGAAUAUUGGACAGUGGGCGCAAGCCUGAUCCAGCCAUACCGCGUGGGUGAAGAAGGCCUUCGGGUUGUAAAGCCCUUUUGUUGGGAAAGAAAAGCAGCAGGUUAAUACCCCGCUGUUCUGACGGUACCCAAAGAAUAAGCACCGGCUAACUUCGU
RNAcentral lists this ribosomal RNA (490 nucleotides) under uncultured bacterium. Its description in RNAcentral is "partial 16S ribosomal RNA". It matches the Rfam family "Bacterial small subunit ribosomal RNA", at positions 29 to 506 of the family's 1533-position model. The record is from RNAcentral.